GGAUGUGAGGGCGAUCUGGCUGCGACAUCUAUCACCCCAUUGAUCACCAGGAUUGAUUUGGCUGAUCUGGCUGUCUAGGCCGGUGUCCCCUUCCUCCCUCACCACUCCAUGUGCGUCCCUCACCACUCCAUGUGCGUUCCUCACAAAGCGGUGUGAUUGGUUGAAGAGUACGGCCAUCCCCAGUAGAGGAGGAUCAUUCUUUGGUCAAAGGUAUGCGAGUAAGCUGAGCUUCCCUGCUAGAACCUCCAAACACGCGCUCAAGAUUACUGUAUCACAUGGUAGUUCUACUUUUAAUUUUUUUUGAGGAAACUCCAUAUUGUUUUGACAUGACUUU
This 334-nucleotide small nuclear RNA is filed under the name Castor canadensis (American beaver). Its description in RNAcentral is "7SK RNA (ENSCCNG00000024499.1)". It matches the Rfam family "7SK RNA". Rfam says of the family: 7SK was discovered as an abundant small nuclear RNA in the mid-70s but a possible function has only recently been suggested. Two independent studies have found that 7SK RNA binds the CDK9/cyclin T complex (known as elongation factor P-TEFb). Lineage: Eukaryota; Metazoa; Chordata; Mammalia; Rodentia; Castoridae. The record is from Rfam by way of RNAcentral.